ACAAAGGUCGGAACUUGUUUGUUAAUGAGCAAGUCCCUCGUAAGCCUUGGGGAUAUUAUCAUAACAUCAUUAUUGGGUGAACCUUUGUAGGCUUGACCUUGGACAAUUGGUUCAAUCAAUGAUGUUACAUUU
RNAcentral lists this small nucleolar RNA (132 nucleotides) under Nelumbo nucifera (sacred lotus). Its description in RNAcentral is "Small nucleolar RNA snoR74". It matches the Rfam family "Small nucleolar RNA snoR74". Lineage: Eukaryota; Viridiplantae; Streptophyta; Magnoliopsida; Proteales; Nelumbonaceae. The record is from Rfam by way of RNAcentral.